Molecule: ribosomal RNA, 497 nt
Filed under: uncultured bacterium
Lineage: Bacteria
Description: partial 16S ribosomal RNA
Rfam family: Bacterial small subunit ribosomal RNA
Source: RNAcentral
GAUGAACGCUGGCGGCGUGCCUAAUACAUGCAAGUCGAGCGAACAGACGAGGAGCUUGCUCCUCUGACGUUAGCGGCGGACGGGUGAGUAACACGUGGAUAACCUACCUAUAAGACUGGGAUAACUUCGGGAAACCGGAGCUAAUACCGGAUAAUAUAUUGAACCGCAUGGUUCAAUAGUGAAAGACGGUUUUGCUGUCACUUAUAGAUGGAUCCGCGCCGCAUUAGCUAGUUGGUAAGGUAACGGCUUACCAAGGCAACGAUGCGUAGCCGACCUGAGAGGGUGAUAGGCCACACUGGAACUGAGACACGGUCCAGACUCAUACGGGAGGCAGCAGUAGGGAAUCUUCCGCAAUGGGCGAAAGCCUGACGGAGCAACGCCGCGUGAGUGAUGAAGGUCUUCGGAUCGUAAAACUCUGUUAUUAGGGAAGAACAAAUGUGUAAGUAACUAUGCACGUCUUGACGGUACCUAAUCAGAAAGCCACGGCUAACUACGUG